This is a long non-coding RNA of Pseudophryne corroboree (corroboree frog), 271 nucleotides long. RefSeq lists it as uncharacterized. The transcript has 2 exons. Lineage: Eukaryota; Metazoa; Chordata; Amphibia; Anura; Myobatrachidae. The record is from RefSeq and is a predicted model, not a curated record.
AGUGAGGAAGUCAGCCACUGAAAAGACAGCGGCAGCUAUCAAUUAACUUAAUUCAAUGAUGUCACAGAAUGGGAGGAGAGGUGCCCCCCUUCAGAGCAGGAGCCUGGCGGCAGAUGACUCCGUUGCCUCCCAGAGUUCUGCCUCUGUUGUUUCCACUGGUGAGGUCACCCCUCAAGGACAUUACUGCAGGUCCCGGCAACACACUUGGACACACGUCACUAUCUACCUUGUCAGGCCACAUAACUGGAAAGUAACGUGUAAUAAAUCAGCG